This 275-nucleotide long non-coding RNA is filed under the name Homo sapiens (human). RNAcentral's name for it is "HSALNT0368281". Lineage: Eukaryota; Metazoa; Chordata; Mammalia; Primates; Hominidae. The record is from RNAcentral.
GUUCACUGAAUAGCAAGACCUGUCCAAAGUGCCCUAACCAGGGGCUGUAGGCAAAAGGAUGCCCCACGAUAAUGGGCUUCUCAACUGCGAGGUCACAUGAACAGGAAUGAACAGGCAAGUGCUUGCUGGGGGACCAUUCUUCCCAGCCAGGAGGAGGGGGCUGCUGGGGAGGGACUUUCUCCCUGAUUCUCGGGUUGUGGGUGGAGCUUCCGUGCUGACCACCACGCUGGGGGACUGGUCUUGUCCCUGAGAGCUGGGGGAAUAAUACAAAUUGG